Non-coding RNA from Pantherophis guttatus, 2070 nucleotides. The record is from RefSeq and is a predicted model, not a curated record. Lineage: Eukaryota; Metazoa; Chordata; Lepidosauria; Squamata; Colubridae.
GGGCCAGUCACGGCGCCCCCUCUCGGCAGGGCCUGGCGGACGACGGGGAGGAGGCGUACGCCAGGGCUGUGAGCCGGACUCCUCCGCUCGUCCCCUCGCUGCAGAUCGAGCAGCCCGACUCGGACUCGGAGCUCCUGGACCAGGUGCUGGAGGAGUGCGAGGAAGACGGUCCCCGACUCCUGCCCACCGCCGCGCCCCGCCGGCCUCUGUGCCGCGGCUCCGGAGACUGCUACUCCCGCCCGGCAGAGGGCGGCGGCGAGGAGAUCGGGGGGCAGCGGGAAGCGGCGGAGGGUUUCUUAACAAGAUCUACACCAGGGAGCAAUAACUUUGCCAAUCAGUAAGUUAUCGUGAAUCAAAUAACCGGGAGUGGAGACAACAUCAGUGUGCUCCUUUGCAGAAAUGAAGAAGAGCUUUCAUUCCUGUGCUUUCAUCAGUUGCUCAACAUGGUUCAGUUGCCUCUCAAGAAGCCAGAGAGACAGGCCAAGAUAUCCUAUGACUGCUCUGAAGAGGAGCUGAUGGCAACAAUAGAGCAAGAAUACUGUCGCUGAAGCCACUCACAGCUAUACCAAUAUGACCAUAAACAAAUUUACCUAGGGGCUAGGUUAUAAAACUAGUGUUUCUGAGAAAAAGUCUACUAGCAUGGCAUGCAGAAAGACAACUCAGAACCCUGACCAGAGUGAUACAACUACAGGAAACUGUCUUAUCUGAACAUUUUCUAUGGAGCCAAAUGAGAAUCUGUUCUUUAUGGGAAAAGAAAAAAAUUAUACACAAAUGUUCAUCUUCACCUAAAGCUUGAGGUGUGAAGUAGUGAAAGAGCAAUCAUUUGUCCACAUUUUAAUGAAACUAAAGUAAACUUUGGGUGGUCUUACUGCAUAGGGUCUUACUGCGGAAUAUUAAUAAUAAUAGUAAUAAUACUACCAAUAAAUCUGUAAGACCUUAAUUACUCCUGCACCCGAAGUUUUGGGUCACAUGGCCCAUCUUUACCAUACUGGUUAAUGCCACAGUGCCUAAAUAGAAGUAUCCUUGAGAAAAUCUCAGGAUGGCAAUAAUUAUUUUGCCUGAGAUUACUCCUGUGUGAUCACUUUAGAUUAGUGGCCAACAAACUCUGCUGGUCACUUGCAGAGAAUCGCAUAGGCUGAAGUACCUCUUACAGAUAAUAUGUGACAAAAAUGUUCCUUCUAAAUCACAUUCCUAUCAGAUGUCUGCAUGCAAAAUGGAAGCAUGAAGUUAACAAAAAGGUUCUGUUCCUAAAGAUGUUAGUGGUGCAGUGUGCUUUGUGUAUCUUAGUAGAUGCAAAGAGCACCAGAGGGGCUGAUGUGCUGUAGUCACUUUGCCUAGUUAUCUCUCUGUGAAUCUCAUCUCAGACUCAAUGAUUUGGAAGGGCCAUUUAAGAUCUCUAGCUCAAUUCUCUGCUUAGUGUAAAAUAAUAGCAAAUAGCUAUCUAAUCUGUUUGAUUGGAAGAAGCUCACCACCUCUCUGUCCAAAGGUACAGUGCAAAAUUGACUAUUGUACUUGCAUCAUUCGAGGAGUUGCUGACAUGCAAUGUGCUUGCUCACACAUGCUCCAAAGCACCUUUGUUUCCUUGGAAUCAAACACAAAUUAUUCUGUUUCCCCUUUUUAGACUUUUAAUUAUAUUUUUAACAUUAUUCUCUUGAUUUCUUUUUGUUUCCGCAUCGGUCUUAUGAAGGUAUAUCUACCCUUUGGAGGAAAAAGAAGAAAUCUGUCAACAUUCAUGCUGGCAGGAUUCUGAAACAUUUCAGCAAGAUCAGAAUAUAAAUGUUGGAAAUAUUAGCAUAUACUUUAAAUGGUUCCUGCUCAUGUAUUGCUGAUGGACUGAGUUAAUACUCAGAUAAUAUAAUAAGACUUUAACAGUGGAGAGUAGUUAUGUUGUUUCAGGUUUGUAAAAUGUACUAUGUAGCUUUCAUGUUCAAAUAUAAGAAAAAAUGUCUAUUAAUACAAUAGUAUUAUUAUUAUACAAUUAUUUAUAUAAUGGUAUCUUUCCAGGAAGUUCAAUCUGUUAGGGUUGUUGUGCUGUGGAUUCCAUUGAUUAAAAAAUAUCAUCUUUCAGAA